RNAcentral lists this ribosomal RNA (495 nucleotides) under uncultured bacterium. RNAcentral describes it as "partial 16S ribosomal RNA". It matches the Rfam family "Bacterial small subunit ribosomal RNA", at positions 28 to 507 of the family's 1533-position model. The record is from RNAcentral.
GACGAACGCUGGCGGCGUGCCUAAUACAUGCAAGUAGAACGCUGAAGGAGGAGCUUGCUUCUCUGGAUGAGUUGCGAACGGGUGAGUAACGCGUAGGUAACCUGCCUGGUAGCGGGGGAUAACUAUUGGAAACGAUAGCUAAUACCGCAUAAUAGCAGUUGUUGCAUGACAACUGUUUGAAAGGUGCAAUUGCACCACUACCAGAUGGACCUGCGUUGUAUUAGCUAGUUGGUGGGGUAACGGCUCACCAAGGCGACGAUACAUAGCCGACCUGAGAGGGUGAUCGGCCACACUGGGACUGAGACACGGCCCAGACUCCUACGGGAGGCAGCAGUAGGGAAUCUUCGGCAAUGGACGGAAGGCUGACCGAGCAACGCCGCGUGAGUGAAGAAGGGUUUCGGAUCGUAAAGCUCUGUUGUAAGAGAAGAACGAGUGUGAGAGUGGAAAGUUCACACUGUGACGGUAUCUUACCAGAAAGGGACGGCUAACUACGUG